Sorghum bicolor (sorghum) is the source of this 3080-nucleotide long non-coding RNA. RefSeq lists it as uncharacterized. Lineage: Eukaryota; Viridiplantae; Streptophyta; Magnoliopsida; Poales; Poaceae. The transcript is spliced from 2 exons. The record is from RefSeq and is a predicted model, not a curated record.
CCCACACGCAGGCAGGCAGACCACGGAAUCCUAGCACUCAGCAAUGCGAUCCAAAACGGACCACCUGCUGGAGCCUGGAGUAGGAGGGGUCUAGGACUAGGAGCAGGAGCAGUAGGUAGGGGGCAGCGGCAAUGGCGAUGGCGAGAUCCAGGGAGCAGGCCCCCCGCUGAGCUGCAGCGCGGUGACUUCUAGAACAGCUCGUGGUCUCUAUCAAUGGCCUCCCUCCCUCCACCUUUUUCCCUUUUAUCUUUGCCUUUUGUUUGGAGUUGGAGGCAGCUCAAUUCGUAAUACUGACGCGCUCGAUCUUUCAACCAUGUUUGUUUAAGCCGGCAGGCAUGAGGGGCCAAAAAAAACAGUGCCCAGUAAAGCCAGUUUUAUGCUGCCGUUACAGUGGCGUUUUCUUUCUCUCUAUUCACUUAAGCUCGUUGCCUCUGUUUUUUCAAGAAUGGGAGUGAGUGAGACAUCAUCAAAAUAACAAAAACUGAAAAUUGGGUAAGAAUUGGCUGAAAUCUCUAAAUCAUGACGGAAACUGAUGUUACUGUUUGCAAUUUUUUUUCUCAGGGCCGGGAGUCAUCACUUUCUUUUUGUCGCUGGAUCGAGCAAUUGUCUAGUAUUAUAUUAGCGGUCCUUUUUGGUAGGUGUUGAUUGGGUUUGAUUAUUACGUUGAGUGCUAAGGAGAUCUAUCCAAAUGUACAUGUCUUUUGUACUCAUUUUUUAAUUGAAUCGCAGUGGAGUAGAUUAGUGUACCGACUCUUCCCAAUGAGCUGUUAAGGAUCAGCUCUCAGCUUUGCAUUUGACCGGGUUUUGAUGCGUUUGACCAGGCUAGUCAAGGAAAUACCAAUACCCUUAUUAGGUGGUGAUUAUUAAACAAAAACAGGUAAAAAUCUGUAUUUGAUUGAUGCUGGAAAAUCUACAUGCAUGUCUAGCUUAUUCAUAUCAAGAUGGUAAAUUGACGAAUUAUGGUACCAAGUCACGCCCAACGGUGGAAAUGUAACAUCCAAGGACCAUGCCUUUAGGUUUACCGAAAAGAACAAGUUUUCUGUUGAUUUGACAGAAAUGCAAGAUUCAUGGGUCCUUUUCAAGUCCCUACUACUGUUCUAGGCCCAUGUUUUUGCUUUCUUUCCUUGAUAUCUUUUAAAGUAAUUAAUGGCACAAAAGUGAUUACUACUACUCAGUAGAUAUACAGUAAAAAAUAUUUUUGUUAGAACGUAAAAAAAAAGAUGUUGGGAUACCUCCCAUCCAGUCUCUUGGUUCUUGAAUGACCUUGAUGGGCCCAAAUUCCCAAGUGAAAUACUGAAAUUCAGCAUCUUGAACAAGGUGCCCCCCCCCCGACCCCCAAAAAAAAAUAGUGCUACUGUGCUACUGUAGCUCUCCCAUUCUAACCAGCUGAUGAAGUGAUCUGGUAAACCCUAAAGCCUCCAGGAUUUGUGCUAAUCAGCACCCCACCAUCUAAGACUAAUUUCAAUAGAAGUUUUAUUUGCAUAUAAUAGGUUGUCACAUAAGUAUUUAUUAUGACAUGACAAUGUUUGUAAGAAUCUUAGACGUGAACUUUAUGUAGAUGAAACUCUCUUGUCUUGGUUUUCAACUCUAAAUGAGCCAUAUAACUAAAUGUCUAAAUUUAAAGAAUAAAACUAUAUAUAGUGAUUGUUUCGUCUGUCUCAUUGCAUUCUAUGUUUUUACACACAACGCAUGAAGAAACUCUUCACUAAAAAUGGUCGGAAAAAAAUCACAUUUAGUAAUACACUGAUACUAGCUGUAACUGUGACUUUUGAGAGUGCAAUACUCACUGAAGAUUAGCUGGCGAGAUCGAGUGAGUUUCCUUUUGGGUGCUUUAGGAGGAGGGGGCACAUGAGUCAUGGCCCGACGAGCAGAAGACAGUAGGUGGCAGCCACGUGAAGCUUGCAUCUGCUGCAAUCUUCCUGCCUUUGUUUUGUGUUACAGAAUGCCCAGGUCCAAACUGUAGUGUGCCAUGACAUGAUGCUAAUUUGGACCCUGCACGCGCCAUGUGAAUGAUGUUUCAGCUCAUCCUUUUUCCAUGUAUACAUAUAUAAUUUUAUCCUUAGCUAAUGGUCGGUGGAAAUGUUAACUGUACCUGUACUAUUUUUCUAAACUGAUCAGCUCCUGUAAUCUUGUCUUGAUGAUGAGCUGCAAAGGUACUGCAUGUUUGUUUUACUUGGGAAGCUUUUGUCAGUCGUGUCACUGCAAGAGAAUCUAGGUAUGUUACAUAAUAUUUUACUACUACUUUGCACAGUAUAGUAAAACUGUCCACGCUUAUAUAUGACCAUUCAGGACCUACAAAAAAUCACUUCUUCAUACGAAGAAAUUAAGGAGCCUCGCAUCAUCAUUAUAACAGUUUGUCUGUUUCUUAGCAAUACUACGGAUUGUUGAAUGAAUUGUGUACUCCAAUAUAUACGUAUAUAUGGUACUAUCCAAUUAAUGUGAGCUGCACAUAAAACAGUAAUCAAUUUAAUUAAUUCCAGAAUCCCUGCUGAAUUAAUUAUUAUAUGUAACUUACACGUACCAGCGACAACAGUUAUCAGCUUUGCUUGAGAUCAAAGUAAGAUGAUGCGGAUGAGAAUGGAUGAAGAAGCAGCUUCAGCUAGUACUACGUACACUCAUUACCAUCAAUCAGUCAGUUCCAUAAUUUGCCAGUGUCCUCGGUACCAGUAGGUCACCAACUCUAACGGUUUCCAUUUCUCCUCUGCUGGCUUUAUAUUAUCUAUACGUCACAUACUAUGCUUCAGUCAACUAGUCAACCUUGUUAUGCAUGCAUCUUUAUAUUAAUUAUCUGUGUACACCGUAUAGCAGGUUCACCAAUACACACACAAAAUGCUGGAGCUGCAAAAGGAAAUCUUGGAGAUUAAUUUGGUGGUGGCGGGAAAAUCUCUAUAUAGCUUUUAGCUGCGAUGUCAACAAUGAAGUCGAAUUUCUUUCCCUCAAAGAAAAAAAAUAAUGUCAAAUUUCUUGAGAAACAAGCUCUUUCUUUUUUCCUUUUCUUUUUCCUGCUUUGCAGCCAUGUUCGCUUGAACUUAUUAAUACUACUUUCUAGUUAUGGAAUAGAGUAAAUUGCACGAUCGGUC